This 875-nucleotide long non-coding RNA is filed under the name Carassius auratus (goldfish). RNAcentral's name for it is "lncRNA (ENSCARG00000032055.1)". The record is from RNAcentral. Lineage: Eukaryota; Metazoa; Chordata; Actinopteri; Cypriniformes; Cyprinidae.
ACUGGUUAUUUUAGAGCAGACACAAAAGUCUGGGUCUCUCUGUAUCGCUCAGGCUGCACUGCAGUGUCUAUUCACAGGCGCGAUCCCACUACUGAUCGACACGGGGACCUGCUCCGUCUCCGACCUGGGCCGGUUCACCCCUCCUUAGACGACCUGGUGGUCCCGAGCUCCCCCAGGAACACCAUAUCGAUACCGAACUUAGUGUGGACACCUGAUCAACAUAGUCCACUGCAGCCCAGAACCCCUGAACUCAAGCGAUCCGCCAGCCUCAGUCUCCCAGCAGCUUGGAUUACAGGCGCGCGCCACUGCACCCGACGAGAGCUGCAGCAUCAGCGCUGAUACUCAAUCUAGAGAUCACUGACACCUCGAGUACAGCACAGCAGAAUAUUAUGUUUUGGCAAUUAAUUUGAAGUAUGCACAUUUUCUCUGCAGCACACUCAAUGAUUAUAAUAUAAUAUAAAACAUUACCAUAUAAAAGUUCUGUAAUCUAUUUUGCCUACCAGUCAACAGUUUAAGAACAGUAAGAUUUUAUUUAUGUUUUUAAAGAAGUCUCUUCUGCUCACCAAACCUGCAUUGAUUUGAUCCAGAACACAGCAAAAGCAGUAAUAUUGUGAAUUAAUUGUACUAUUUAAAACAACAGUUUUCUAUUUGAAUAUGUUUUAAAAUGUAAUUUAUUCCUGUGACCAAAGCUGUAUUUUCAGCAUCAUUACUCCAGUCUUCAGUGUCUCAUCCUUCAGAAAUCAUUCUAAUAUGCUGAUUUGCUGAUUAUCAAUAUUUAAAACAUAUGAGUACAUUUUUCAGUAUUCUUUGAUGAAUAGAGUGGUUUCCAAAGAUCAGCAUUUAUUUGAAAUAAAAAGCUUUUGCAACAUUAUUUA